AGCAGCCGCGGUAAUUCCAGCUCCAAUAGCGUAUAUUAAAGUUGUUGCAGUUAAAAAGCUCGUAGUUGAAUUUCGGGGUUAGUAGGUUGGUCAUGCCUCUGGUAUGUACUGGUCUCACUGAUUCCUCCUUCCUGAUGAACCUUAAUGCCAUUAAUUUGGUGUUUUGGGGAAUUUGGACUGUUACUUUGAAAAAAUUAGAGUGUUUAAAGCAAGCUAACGCUUGAAUGCAUUAGCAUGGAAUAAUGAAAUAGGACGUUCGAUCCUAUUUUGUUGGUUUCUAGGAUUGACGUAAUGAUUAAUAGGGAUAGUUGGGGGCAUUAGUAUUCAAUUGUCAGAGGUGAAAUUCUUGGAUUUAUUGUAGACUAACUAUUGCGAAAGCAUUUGCCAAGGAUGUUUU
This 397-nucleotide ribosomal RNA is filed under the name uncultured Glomeromycotina. RNAcentral's name for it is "SSU rRNA". It matches the Rfam family "Eukaryotic small subunit ribosomal RNA", at positions 569 to 970 of the family's 1831-position model. Lineage: Eukaryota; Fungi; Glomeromycota. The record is from RNAcentral.